This 21-nucleotide non-coding RNA is filed under the name Caenorhabditis elegans. The record is from RNAcentral. Lineage: Eukaryota; Metazoa; Nematoda; Chromadorea; Rhabditida; Rhabditidae.
UACAACGGUCCUAAAAACUAU